This 403-nucleotide ribosomal RNA is filed under the name bacterium. Its description in RNAcentral is "partial 16S ribosomal RNA". It matches the Rfam family "Bacterial small subunit ribosomal RNA", at positions 355 to 776 of the family's 1533-position model. The record is from RNAcentral.
UGGGGAAUAUUGCACAAUGGGGGAAACCCUGAUGCAGCGACGCCGCGUGAACGAAGAAGGUAUUCGUAUCGUAAAGUUCUGUCCUAUGGGAAGAUAAUGACAGUACCAUAGAAGAAAGCUCCGGCUAAAUACGUGCCAGCAGCCGCGGUAAUACGUAUGGAGCGAGCGAUGUCCGGAAUUAUUGGGCGUAAAGGGUACGCAGGCGGUUUAAUAAGUCGAAUGUUAAAGAUCGGGGCUCAACCCCGCAAAGCAUUGGAAACUGAUAAACUUGAGUAGUGGAGGGGAAAGUGGAAUUCCUAGUGUAGUGGUGAAAUACGUAGAUAUUAGGAGGAAUACCAGUAGCGAAGGCGACUUUCUGGACACAAACUGACGCUGAGGUACGAAAGCGUGGGGAGCAAACAGG